CCAUGUCACUUCCUGGUUUGGUAGAGCCUGGCAUCACCUUUAGUAAGGUAGCCCAUGCCCCCGCUCCUCUUGGCCUCGAUGCAAAACUGGAAAGAACAUUCCAAGGCAACGGGACCCAGGUUGGCGAGGCUGGUGACAGUAAGAAGGAAGGGUGCUUAGGAGAACAUGCAGUAGAACUUUUCAUCAAACAAAUGGAACACGUCACAGAAUUUUGCUAACAUGGACAACUCUGCACAGAAAAAUGAACGCACUGGCAAACAUCCCAGACGUGCCAGUGAAGUACAGAAAGGUUUUACUGCUGCAUAUCCAACACAAUCCUCCAUUCCUUUUAAAUCUCAAGCUUCAGUAAUCCCAGAAUCAGAAAAAAAAGGAUUCAAUAGUCAAGCCAAGAGAUUUCCUCAUAAGAAGGUAAUGACGUUGUCUCAGGGGUUCUUUCGUUUUAGUCUGGAUUUUAGCCUUGCGGGACAGGCACGUUCUGUCUGGCUGCUGUGUCUUUCUGUGGACAGUGGAGGGCAGUGUGCUCCCAGGAGCCGCGGCACCAGCUCCACUGAGGGGCACCGACUGGACUAACUGUAAGAACGAGCCUGAAAAAUGGGACAUCCAGGGAAAAACAACUGUGUCUGGAUUUAUGGCGCCAAAAAUAUUGAACUGGACCAAAACUAUUUUAAGAAAACAAUAUAUUUUAAAAAUCAUCAUAAAGCUAAAAAAUUG
Molecule: long non-coding RNA, 711 nt
Filed under: Homo sapiens (human)
Lineage: Eukaryota; Metazoa; Chordata; Mammalia; Primates; Hominidae
Description: non-protein coding lnc-STPG1-2:2
Source: RNAcentral